GAUGAACGCUAGCUACAGGCUUAACACAUGCAAGUCGAGGGACCGGCGCACGGGUGAGUAACACGUAUCCAACCUGCCCUUUACUCGGGGAUAGCCUUUCGAAAGAUAGAUUAAUACCCGAUAUAAAGGAUGGGGAUGCGUUCCAUUAGGUGGUGGGUGAGGUAACGGCCCACCAAGCCUUCGAUGGAUAGGCUUUCUGAGAGGAAGGUCCCCCACAGUUGAACUGAGACACGGUCCAAACUCCUACGGGAGGAAGCAGUGAGGAAUAUUGGGCAAUGGGCGUUAGCCUGAACCAGCCAAGUAGCGUGAAGGAUGAAGGCUUAUGGGUCGUAAACUUCUUUUAUAUAAGAAUAUGUAUUAUAUGAAUAAGGAUCGGCUAACUCCGUGCCAGCCGCCGCGGUAAUAC
This 406-nucleotide ribosomal RNA is filed under the name uncultured bacterium. Its description in RNAcentral is "partial 16S ribosomal RNA". It matches the Rfam family "Bacterial small subunit ribosomal RNA", at positions 28 to 526 of the family's 1533-position model. The record is from RNAcentral.